GAGGGUAUAGCUCAGUGGUAGAGUGCCUGCUUAGCAUGCACGAGGUCCUGGGUUCAAUCCUCAGUACCUCCG
Molecule: transfer RNA, 72 nt
Filed under: Camelus bactrianus (Bactrian camel)
Lineage: Eukaryota; Metazoa; Chordata; Mammalia; Artiodactyla; Camelidae
Also listed under: 2 other names
Rfam family: tRNA
About the family: Transfer RNA (tRNA) molecules are approximately 80 nucleotides in length. Their secondary structure includes four short double-helical elements and three loops (D, anti-codon, and T loops). Further hydrogen bonds mediate the characteristic L-shaped molecular structure. tRNAs have two regions of fundamental functional importance: the anti-codon, which is responsible for specific mRNA codon recognition, and the 3' end, to which the tRNAs corresponding amino acid is attached (by aminoacyl-tRNA synthetases). tRNAs cope with the degeneracy of the genetic code in two manners: having more than one tRNA (with a specific anti-codon) for a particular amino acid; and 'wobble' base-pairing, i.e. permitting non-standard base-pairing at the 3rd anti-codon position.
Source: Rfam by way of RNAcentral